This 301-nucleotide long non-coding RNA is filed under the name Lathyrus oleraceus (garden pea). Its description in RNAcentral is "Pisum sativum (pea) long non-coding RNA (PSAT_LNC026390)". Lineage: Eukaryota; Viridiplantae; Streptophyta; Magnoliopsida; Fabales; Fabaceae. The record is from RNAcentral.
AAAAUAAUGUACUUUGACAAUAAAAAAGAAAUAGAAACAAAUAAAAAAAUAUCAAAGUUUGCAUAAAAAGAAAAUUCAUCAAAAAAAAAAGUUGUAAUCGAAAAAGAAAAACGACCUUGAAAAACAAAGUAAUAUACAACUUUUCAAUCUCUUAUCUGCUAGGCACUUUUGAAUCCCGGAAAAACUAAGAUUCUUGUAAGCCCAAACAUUACAAUCAAAAUAAAGACUUUAGUGAUUCAUGGUUGAUUAUGUAUCUGUGAUAUUGCUUAGAUAAAAUGCAAAAUGUUUUUAUAGUUGAUAC